GCCGGUGUAGCUCAGGGGUAGAGCGUUUCCUUGGUAAGGAAGAGGUCAUGGGUUCAAAUCCCAUCAUUGGCUCAA
This 75-nucleotide transfer RNA is filed under the name Constantimarinum furrinae. Its description in RNAcentral is "Altibacter sp. ALE3EI tRNA-Thr". It matches the Rfam family "tRNA". From Rfam's summary of the family: Transfer RNA (tRNA) molecules are approximately 80 nucleotides in length. Their secondary structure includes four short double-helical elements and three loops (D, anti-codon, and T loops). Lineage: Bacteria; Pseudomonadati; Bacteroidota; Flavobacteriia; Flavobacteriales; Flavobacteriaceae. The record is from RNAcentral.